GAUUAAGUUAUUAAGGGCGCACGGUGGAUGCCUUGGCACUAGAAGCCGAUGAAGGACGUUACUAACGACGAUAUGCUUUGGGGAGCUGUAAGUAAGCUUUGAUCCAGAGAUUUCCGAAUGGGGAAACCCAGCAUGAGUUAUGUCAUGUUAUCGAUAUGUGAAUACAUAGCAUAUCAGAAGGCACACCCGGAGAACUGAAACAUCUUAGUACCCGGAGGAAGAGAAAGAAAAUUCGAUUCCCUUAGUAGCGGCGAGCGAAACGGGAAGAGCCCAAACCAACAAGCUUGCUUGUUGGGGUUGUAGGACACUCUAUACGGAGUUACAAAGGACGACAUUAGACGAAUCAUCUGGAAAGAUGAAUCAAAGAAGGUAAU
This 374-nucleotide ribosomal RNA is filed under the name Staphylococcus aureus. Its description in RNAcentral is "partial 23S ribosomal RNA". It matches the Rfam family "Bacterial large subunit ribosomal RNA", at positions 1 to 368 of the family's 2925-position model. The record is from RNAcentral. Lineage: Bacteria; Bacillati; Bacillota; Bacilli; Caryophanales; Staphylococcaceae.